Molecule: ribosomal RNA, 443 nt
Filed under: uncultured bacterium
Lineage: Bacteria
Description: partial 16S ribosomal RNA
Rfam family: Bacterial small subunit ribosomal RNA
Source: RNAcentral
CCUACGGGAGGCAGCAGUGGGGAAUAUUGGGCAAUGGGCGCAAGCCUGACCCAGCAACGCCGCGUGAAGGAAGACGGCUUUCGGGUUGUAAACUUCUUUUCUCAGGGACGAAGAACGUGACGGUUCCUGAGUUCUACGCCACGGCUAACAACGUGCCAGAAGCAGCGGUAAUACGGGGGUGGCAAGCGUUAUCCGGAUUUAUUGGGUGUAAAGGGCGUGUAGGCGGGAGCGUAAGGCAGAUGUGAAAACUCAGGGCUCAACCCUGAGCCUGCAUUUGAAACUGUGUUUCUUGAGUGCUGGAGAGGCAAUCGGAAUUCCGUGUGUAGCGGUGAAAUGCGUAGAUAUUAGGAGGAACACCAGUGGCGAAGGCGGUCUGCUGGACAGCAACUGACGCUGAGGCGCGAAAGCGUGGGGAGCAAACAGGAUUAGAUACCCCAGUAGUC